CGGUCUCGUGUCAUAUCGCCUUCUGAAAUUCCCCAGACCUGCAGGUGGCUGCCAGGCACGGUCAAGAACGGAACCCCAGCCUCCCAAGUUUACAACCCACCAGCCGCCACGGUCCAGACUGACCUAUUUAAAGCCAACGGACACAUUCCAGGCUAUUCCGGAGUGAAUCUAUAAGGCGCGCCUCAGAGCAACGUUAGUUUACAAUACAACUACUGCCUAUAAAACCAGACCUAUCCAGAAGUUAUAAAACUGAUGUUUUUCUGGCUAGGAUCAACUGACCUAGGUAACGUUAACACUGUUAUCCCGUUACAUAGCCGGGUAAAGGCCCUUCGAAAAAGCCACAACUAACUUCGCGCAUCACGUCCAAUAUUGUGCGCUGGGGUUGUCGACGGGAAGCGCACACGUUUUUGUUAGCAACAUUAGCUUGUGUCUCUAUCGCAAAGAACACGGCCAUCGUAUAAAGUAUUUUAUUAUCUAAGUUAGCGUCCGUUGUCGUAACUGAUAAGAUAAACCGAUUUAGAGCUGUACUCGCGGAAAUAGACGAGAAUGAGAUUGGCCGGACGACUGUAACGUUAUCGCAAGCAAUGCUACAGCGUGACCGACUGCGCUGUCAACCAAGACAGAAAAAAGGAAGGACAGCGCUGACUGUGCGAAGGUCGCUGGGGUUGCUGGAGCCCAUCGGGAAGACACGGGAAGAACAUACGAGCUCCACACAGAAAGGCCCCAGCCAGGAUUCAAACCCAGGACCUUCUUGCUGUGAGGUGGAUGAGACCCAUAUCUAUGUAAACUGCAGUCACUGCCCUGACUAGAAGAGGAACACUGUUGGCAAGUGCUGUG
Molecule: long non-coding RNA, 837 nt
Organism: Anguilla rostrata (American eel)
Lineage: Eukaryota; Metazoa; Chordata; Actinopteri; Anguilliformes; Anguillidae
Exons: 3
Source: RefSeq, a predicted model, not a curated record